CCUGAAUUCAGCGGCGGACGGGUGAGUAAUGCCUAGGAAUCUGCCUGGUAGUGGGGGACAACGUUUCGAAAGGAACGCUAAUACCGCAUACGUCUUACGGGAGAAAGCAGGGGACCUUCGGGCCUUGCGCUAUCAGAUGAGCCUAGGUCGGAUUAGCUAGUUGGUGAGGUAAUGGCUCACCAAGGCGACGAUCCGUAACUGGUCUGAGAGGAUGAUCAGUCACACUGGAACUGAGACACGGUCCAGACUCCUACGGGAGGCAGCAGUGGGGAAUAUUGGACAAUGGGCGAAAGCCUGAUCCAGCCAUGCCGCGUGUGUGACAGAAGGUCUUCGGAUUGUAAAGCACUUUAAGUUGGGAGGAAGGGCAUUAACCUAAUACGUUAGUGUUUUGACGUUACCGACAGAAUAAG
Molecule: ribosomal RNA, 410 nt
Filed under: Pseudomonas sp. CL3.124
Lineage: Bacteria; Pseudomonadati; Pseudomonadota; Gammaproteobacteria; Pseudomonadales; Pseudomonadaceae
Description: bacterial SSU rRNA
Rfam family: Bacterial small subunit ribosomal RNA
Source: RNAcentral